RNAcentral lists this long non-coding RNA (461 nucleotides) under Gossypium barbadense (sea-island cotton). RNAcentral's name for it is "long non-coding RNA (GBAR_LNC019684)". Lineage: Eukaryota; Viridiplantae; Streptophyta; Magnoliopsida; Malvales; Malvaceae. The record is from RNAcentral.
CUAUUAAAAGCAUCAUAAGAGUGGUGAGCAUGACAGCUUCCUUCGCGGUAGCUUCCACAGACCCCUUCCGGUGUUCCGAAACUGGCAAACUUAACUGCUGAGAUUUUUUGCCCAGCAUCGCACUCUAAAUGCACUUUUGGCCUUAGGGGUUUGUUGACUUUACCAGAGGCUUUCAUCAGGUAAUUCAUUAGGUUAGGUUGCCACUCGUAGAUAUCAGCACAGACACUGUCAGUUUCUCGGCGUACCAAAGUAAUUCCAUUCGGAUCUCCACCCCAUUCCUCAAACACAACCAACAAAUUCCCUGUUGGGUUGAGCCAUGAACGAGGAACAUGGUACCUAUAUUAAGUUAGUAACCACAAGUCAGUCUAUCGAAAACUCCUAGAUUGUCGGAGAAACAGAAAAGCAGAUUGGUUUUGUUCUAGCUUACCAUCUUUGAGAGGCCUCUCCACAAUUAGUUCCAC